RNAcentral lists this long non-coding RNA (290 nucleotides) under Ananas comosus (pineapple). RNAcentral describes it as "long non-coding RNA (ACOM_LNC006400)". The record is from RNAcentral. Lineage: Eukaryota; Viridiplantae; Streptophyta; Magnoliopsida; Poales; Bromeliaceae.
UUGUGGUUUGCUUUGUAUAGAUGGAAAGAUGGUGAGUAGGAUGAGAAAAUAUAUGUAGUAGCGAGAGAGAGAGAGAGAGAGAGAGAGAGAGAGAGAGAGAGUGAAGGGGUUUGUUUGAGUUGGAAGAUGGGGUGCAGGUCCAAAUGAUCCGUUGGAUGCAUGAGAUUUGACUGGAUGUUUUGCAUGAGAGAGAGAGAGAGAGAGAGAGUGUGUGUGUGUGUGUGUGUGUGUGUGCUUGUUUGGAUUAUUGGGGUGUUGUGUGUGAGUGUGUGCGCGCGCGCGCGUGUUAU